ACAUGGCAAUCUAUGAAAUUAAUUUAUUGUUCAUAAGAUCAAUUAUCGACAAUAGAGACGGACAACAUAUCUCGGCAUUUUCCGUACCCGGUCUUUCUAAUCGUGUUUUGACAUGUCGCAUGUUUCUAACAACGAUUGGUCCUUCGCUGACUGGUUUUAAAACGGACUGAAACGAACGACGCUUGCCGGGCUUCAUUCAGUCAUUGCAGUGCGUCCCAUUUCUAUGCAAGAAUCAAGAGGCGAGAUCAUGCCGGCAAGAGGAAUAGUCAUGGAGGAGAUGUCGUCCUGCCUUCUCUGUCAACUUCACCCCAGGGGCUUGAGGCCAAAGAUGUCAACAGAACGUGUAUUUCGCAUCAUCUACACCAUGUCGGCUUGUCAAAAACAAACAACUGACGUUUUCCUGUCGCCAGAAUGAGAUGUUGGCAGUACAUGCAAGGACACGCAAUCACCUCCGCUUCUACUAACGUGUCAAGAUUAUUUUGUGAGAGUGAGUCAUUUAAAAUGGACUUGAUAUUAGAUGUUAAUAGUCAGAUGUAUCCUGUAGAAUUAGGUGACAAGUUUCGACUUGUUGUUGCAACAACGUUGCGUGAAGACGGUGCUCCAGAU
Patella vulgata (common limpet) is the source of this 606-nucleotide long non-coding RNA. RefSeq lists it as uncharacterized. NCBI's taxonomy places the organism in Eukaryota, Metazoa, Mollusca, Gastropoda, Patellidae. The record is from RefSeq and is a predicted model, not a curated record. The transcript has 3 exons.